This is a long non-coding RNA of Xenopus tropicalis (tropical clawed frog), 1055 nucleotides long. RefSeq lists it as uncharacterized. The transcript has 2 exons. The record is from RefSeq and is a predicted model, not a curated record. NCBI's taxonomy places the organism in Eukaryota, Metazoa, Chordata, Amphibia, Anura, Pipidae.
CGGCAUCAGCCUAAGUUACCUGAUCCAGCUGCAAGUAACUUCCUAAUUAGAGGGAUUUUUAAACAUGCCCCUUCCUGCUCUCCUGGCUGGAUCAUUAAACUAAAUCACUUGGUAUAAGCCAGUCAACAUUGUCCUGGGAAUCCUGUCCUGCUCCUGUUAACCUGCAUUUUCAAGUCAACACAAUCCUGGGAAUGCCAUCUGAGUUUCCAUGUAUCCUGCCCUGCUCCUGUGAGUGUAUCCCUGACUCCUGCUGAUUUUCUGGGUUCGUAUUCAUUCUUACCGACUGAGUGGCAGAAUAUGUUCUUCAGAUUUAGCUUCAAACCAUGGGCUUGUUGGUGCCUCAGUAUACAGGAGAGAAGAUUGGCAGUGCAAAGUCACAGGGGACAUAUGGUCUGGAGAUGUCCACAGCAAACCCGGGCUUACCGUCUGUCUCAGCACAGAACUUUCCGAAUCACUUCCAGGAACAUUAUAGUUUAUAAGAGAUGGGCUGCAGAAUGUUAUUGAUGGGUAGUCAUGCCUGCUAUCCAAGUAAGAAGAGGGAGUGUACAUUGGACUUUGAUCCAUAGGCACUGUGCCACUGUACGGCACUGAAGAGUUUAUGGCAGAGGGAGAACUUUUGAUAUCUGCUUUCCCAUGAAGAAUAUGCUGCAUUGGCUGUAGUUGGGAAUAUUCCUUGUGCAUGUAAGUGGACAUUUUUAACAAAGGAUAAAUGUUUUUUGGAGCCUCACAUUGUCUUCCAUGCACUAGAGAAAAAAGGCAAAAAGAUAUAUAUAAUGCGCAAGAUAUGUGUUUACUAAAGUAUGAAAGGCAAUUAUUAACAUAUUUGAAUUCAGUAAGCAGCAACAGAUCUACUUUGCAGCAGGUCUGAAUAUCACUCCUCUUUACUGAGACUGGUAGUGGCAGUGACUUUAGUCAGAAAAACAUUUAUUUACUAAGGAUACACUGACACACUGGGGGUCACACAAUGAGCUGUAAUGACAGAAUUAGUUCCUUAUAUCUAUAUCUUAUCGUUAACUCUAUUGCAUUACCAGUCUGAAUAAACAACAUGAAAGCCA